RNAcentral lists this ribosomal RNA (253 nucleotides) under uncultured bacterium. RNAcentral's name for it is "partial 16S ribosomal RNA". It matches the Rfam family "Bacterial small subunit ribosomal RNA", at positions 524 to 776 of the family's 1533-position model. The record is from RNAcentral.
UACGUAGGGUGCAAGCGUUAAUCGGAAUUACUGGGCGUAAAGCGUGCGCAGGCGGUUAUGCAAGACAGAUGUGAAAUCCCCGGGCUUAACCUAGGAACUGCAUUUGUGACUGCAUAGCUAGAGUACGGUAGAGGGGGAUGGAAUUCCGCGUGUAGCAGUGAAAUGCGUAGAUAUGCGGAGGAACACCGAUGGCGAAGGCAGUCCCCUGGACCUGUACUGACGCUCAUGCACGAAAGCGUGGGGAGCAAACAGG